CCUACGGGAGGCUGCAGUGAGGAAUAUUGGUCAAUGGGCGCUAGCCUGAACCAGCCAAGUAGCGUGAAGGAUGACUGCCCUAUGGGUUGUAAACCUCUUUUAUAUGGGAAUAAUGUGUAGUAUGUAUACUGCUUUGCAUGUACCUUAUGAAUAAGGAUCGGCUAACUCCGUGCCAGCAGCCGCGGUAAUACGGAGGAUCCGAGCGUUAUCCGGAUUUAUUGGGUUUAAAGGGAGCGUUGGCGGGUUGUUAAGUAGGUUGUUAAAGUGUGCGGCUUAACCGUUAAAUUGCAGUUAAUCAUGGCAGACUUGAGUACAGAAGAGGUAGGCGGAAUACGUGGUGUAGCGGUGAAAUGCUUAGAUAUAACGUAGAACUCCGAUAGCGAAGGCAGCCUACUAGACUGUAACUGACGCUGAUGCACGAGAGUGUGGGUAUCAAACAGGAUUAGAUACCCUUGUAGUC
Molecule: ribosomal RNA, 460 nt
Filed under: uncultured bacterium
Lineage: Bacteria
Description: partial 16S ribosomal RNA
Rfam family: Bacterial small subunit ribosomal RNA
Source: RNAcentral